UUAUGGACCCACCUGAUCCCAUGCCGAACUCAGAAGUGAAACGUAAUAGCGCCGAUGGUAGUGUGGGGCUUCCCCAUGUGAGAGUAGGACAUCGCCAGGC
This 100-nucleotide ribosomal RNA is filed under the name Aliivibrio fischeri. The record is from RNAcentral. Lineage: Bacteria; Pseudomonadati; Pseudomonadota; Gammaproteobacteria; Vibrionales; Vibrionaceae.